AGACACCAACUGUUGGGGUUCUAUCUCAACAUUCUCCAGAUUCAGAUGUGAGCGAUAAACCGACUUCAUCCCUCCAACAGAAACCAACUGUUGAGGUUCCAUCUCAACAUUCUCCAGAUUCAGAUGUGAGCCAUUAACUGACUUCAUCCCUCCAACAGAAACCAACUGUUGAGGUUCUAUCUCAACAUUCUCUAGAUUCAGAUGACAGCCAUAAACAGACUUCAUCCCUCCAACAGAUUGACAGCAGGACAAAUCGCUGGAAGUGGGUAUGUCUCAAGCUUCUUCCACUUGGUCCACUCCAAAGCGGGCUGCAAAGGGGAAGAAGUGGAAGUAGUUGAAUGACACAUGUUGCAUUUUGUAACUGGCAACAAAGUACCAGGUAAAAAAGAUUGUGAAGCCUGCCUCCAUAAAGAACUAGUAGCUCUACAGGACAGAGAUUGGCUUGCCAUCAAGUACUACAUCCAUAACAGAAUUAUAUUAAAAAAAGGGAAAAAAAAUGUUUUCCCACAUCUUCUGUGGUAGUUUGAGUAUGUUACCAGCAAUUAAAAAAGCAAAAUAAACA
Long non-coding RNA from Nerophis ophidion (straightnose pipefish), 562 nucleotides. RefSeq lists it as uncharacterized. The transcript is spliced from 5 exons. The record is from RefSeq and is a predicted model, not a curated record. NCBI's taxonomy places the organism in Eukaryota, Metazoa, Chordata, Actinopteri, Syngnathiformes, Syngnathidae.